CCUACGGGAGGCAGCAGUGGGGAAUAUUGGACAAUGGGGGCAACCCUGAUCCAGCCAUGCCGCGUGUGUGAAGAAGGCCCUCGGGUUGUAAAGCACUUUCAGUGAGGAAGAACGCCUGGAGGUUAAUACCCAUCAGGAAAGACAUCACUCACAGAAGAAGCACCGGCUAACUCCGUGCCAGCAGCCGCGGUAAUACGGAGGGUGCGAGCGUUAAUCGGAAUUACUGGGCGUAAAGCGCGCGUAGGUGGCUUGAUAAGCCGGUUGUGAAAGCCCCGGGCUCAACCUGGGAACUGCAUCCGGAACUGUCAAGCUAGAGUGCAGGAGAGGAAGGUAGAAUUCCCGGUGUAGCGGUGAAAUGCGUAGAGAUCUGGAGGAAUACCAGUGGCGAAGGCGGCCUUCUGGACGGACACUGACACUGAGGUGCGAAAGCGUGGGUAGCAAACAGGAUUAGAUACCCUAGUAGUC
This 465-nucleotide ribosomal RNA is filed under the name Vreelandella stevensii. RNAcentral's name for it is "partial 16S ribosomal RNA". It matches the Rfam family "Bacterial small subunit ribosomal RNA", at positions 338 to 795 of the family's 1533-position model. Lineage: Bacteria; Pseudomonadati; Pseudomonadota; Gammaproteobacteria; Oceanospirillales; Halomonadaceae. The record is from RNAcentral.